This 436-nucleotide ribosomal RNA is filed under the name Pseudomonas sp. Z75. RNAcentral describes it as "bacterial SSU rRNA". It matches the Rfam family "Bacterial small subunit ribosomal RNA", at positions 284 to 712 of the family's 1533-position model. Lineage: Bacteria; Pseudomonadati; Pseudomonadota; Gammaproteobacteria; Pseudomonadales; Pseudomonadaceae. The record is from RNAcentral.
UAACUGGUCUGAGAGGAUGAUCAGUCACACUGGAACUUGAGACACGGUCCAGACUCCUACUGGAGGCAGCAGUGGGAAUAUUGGACAAUGGGCGAAAGCCUGAUCCAGUCAUGCCGCGUGUGUGAAGAAGGUCUUCGGAUUGUAAAGCACUUUAAGUUGGGAGGAAGGGUACUUACCUAAUACGUGAGUAUUUUGACGUUACCGACAGAAUAAGCACCGGCUAACUCUGUGCCAGCAGCCGCGGUAAUACAGAGGGUGCAAGCGUUAAUCGGAAUUACUGGGCGUAAAGCGCGCGUAGGUGGUUUGUUAAGUUGGAUGUGAAAGCCCCGGGCUCAACCUGGGAACUGCAUCCAAAACUGGCAAGCUAGAGUAUGGUAGAGGGUGGUGGAAUUUCCUGUGUAGCGGUGAAAUGCGUAGAUAUAGGAAGGAACACCAG